AAUUACAAACAUACCAACGUUAAUGCACCGGAUCCCAUCAAAACUCYGUAGUUAAACACACUUAGGCUAGAGUAGUACUAGGAUGGGUGACUGCCUGGGAAGUCCUAGUGUUUUACAUUC
Non-coding RNA from Picea glauca (white spruce), 120 nucleotides. NCBI's taxonomy places the organism in Eukaryota, Viridiplantae, Streptophyta, Pinopsida, Pinales, Pinaceae. The record is from Rfam.